GCCACGGCUAACUACGUGCCAGCAGCCGCGGUAAUACGUAGGUGGCAAGCGUUAUCCGGAAUUAUUGGGCGUAAAGCGCGCGCAGGUGGUCUAUUAAGUCUGAUGUGAAAUCCCACGGCUCAACCGUGGAGGGUCAUUGGAAACUGGGAGACUUGAGUACAGAAGAGGAAAGUGGAAUUCCAGGUGUAGCGGUGAAAUGCGUAGAGAUAUGGAGGAACACCAGUGGCGAAGGCGACUUUCUGGUCUGUAACUGACACUGAGGCGCGAAAGCGUGGGGAGCAAACAGGAUUAGAUACCCUGGUAGUCCACGCCGUAAACGA
Molecule: ribosomal RNA, 320 nt
Filed under: Bacillus sp. (in: firmicutes)
Lineage: Bacteria; Bacillati; Bacillota; Bacilli; Caryophanales; Bacillaceae
Description: bacterial SSU rRNA
Rfam family: Bacterial small subunit ribosomal RNA
Source: RNAcentral